GCGCAGCAGUCGCGAAACCUCCGCAAUACGCGAAAGCGUGACGGGGUCAUCCCGAGUGCCGUCCGCUGAGGAUGGCUUUUCCCCAGUGUAGACAGCUGGGGGAAUAAGGAGAGGGCAAGUCGGGUGUCAGCCGCCGCGGUAAUACCCGCUCUCCGAGUGGUGGGGACGCUUAUUGGGCCUAAAGCAUCCGUAGCUAGCUGGGCAAGUCCCCUGUUAAAUCCAGCGAUUUAAUCGUUGGACUGCGGGGGAUACUGUCCGGCUAGGGGGCGGGAGAGGCCGACGGUAUUUCCGGGGUAGGGGUGAAAUCCUAUAAUCCCGGGAGGACCACCAGUGGCGAAGGCGGAGCGCCAGAGCACGCCCGACGGUGAGGGACGAAAGCUAGGGGAGCAAACGGGAUUAGAUACCCCGGUAGUCC
This 415-nucleotide ribosomal RNA is filed under the name uncultured crenarchaeote. RNAcentral's name for it is "partial 16S ribosomal RNA". It matches the Rfam family "Archaeal small subunit ribosomal RNA", at positions 330 to 747 of the family's 1478-position model. Lineage: Archaea; Thermoproteati; Thermoproteota. The record is from RNAcentral.